RNAcentral lists this ribosomal RNA (760 nucleotides) under uncultured bacterium. Its description in RNAcentral is "bacterial SSU rRNA". It matches the Rfam family "Bacterial small subunit ribosomal RNA", at positions 28 to 776 of the family's 1533-position model. The record is from RNAcentral.
GAUGAACGCUAGCUACAGUGCUUAACACAUGCAAGUCGAGGGGCAGCAUGGUCUUAGCUUGCUAAGGCCGAUGGCGACCGGCGCACGGGUGAGUAACACGUAUCCAACCUGCCGUCUACUCUUGGACAGCCUUCUGAAAGGAAGAUUAAUACAAGAUGGCAUCAUGAGUUCACAUGUUCACAUGAUUAAAGGUAUUCCGGUAGACGAUGGGGAUGCGUUCCAUUAGAUAGUAGGCGGGGUAACGGCCCACCUAGUCUUCGAUGGAUAGGGGUUCUGAGAGGAAGGUCCCCCACAUUGGAACUGAGACACGGUCCAAACUCCUACGGGAGGCAGCAGUGAGGAAUAUUGGUCAAUGGGCGAGAGCCUGAACCAGCCAAGUAGCGUGAAGGAUGACUGCCCUAUGGGUUGUAAACUUCUUUUAUAAAGGAAUAAAGUCGGGUAUGGAUACCCGUUUGCAUGUACUUUAUGAAUAAGGAUCGGCUAACUCCGUGCCAGCAGCCGCGGUAAUACGGAGGAUCCGAGCGUUAUCCGGAUUUAUUGGGUUUAAAGGGAGCGUAGAUGGAUGUUUAAGUCAGUUGUGAAAGUUUGCGGCUCAACCGUAAAAUUGCAGUUGAUACUGGAUAUCUUGAGUGCAGUUGAGGCAGGCGGAAUUCGUGGUGUAGCGGUGAAAUGCUUAGAUAUCACGAAGAACUCCGAUUGCGAAGGCAGCCUGCUAAGCUGCAACUGGCAUUGAGGCUCGAAAGUGUGGGUAUCAAACAGG